This 3176-nucleotide long non-coding RNA is filed under the name Sus scrofa (pig). RNAcentral's name for it is "lncRNA (ENSSSCG00060010036.1)". The record is from RNAcentral. Lineage: Eukaryota; Metazoa; Chordata; Mammalia; Artiodactyla; Suidae.
ACUUAUAAUUAUGCCUUUGCUCAAACUUACUUGAAUUAUGACUCUGCUUCAGGCACUUACACCCAUUCUGUCUUAUUGGGGGAAGAGGAGACUCUCUUGCUAUAACUUUGCUUAAUAAAAACAUGAAAUAUGAAAGUUGGAAGGACCUAUAUUCAUACCGACUAAUUUUACACACAGGAGACUUCAAGAAGUUUAGAGGAGCCCAGUAAGUCACUAAGCUGGGUGUUGUGUGUUGCUCACAAGCAUUAGGCUCAGGUUGUAAUGUGGAAAGUACCAUGAAGGGCAGGAACCAAGAUGGGUUUUGUUCUGAUUCACGCCCCCCCACCAUCAGGGGUGUGACUUGGAAAAUCCAUUUCUUUCCAAACUAGGACUGCUGUAAUGAUCAAAUAAAUGAAUGUGAUAUUUGUCAGUAGAAUAGUAGUUACUUUGUCGACUUAAGGAUUACUAGCAUUGUUAGGAGAAGCCAUCCAGUUGGCAAUCAGAUGCUUUACAGGGAGAGCCUUUCGUACAGAAGGAACAGUGAUGGAGACUUGAAUUGAAGUAGCUGCAGUGGGAGUUAUGGCAGCAUGCAGCAAAAGGUACAUCAAAAUGAAUUCUGUGCAGCUGAAUAGAAGUCCUCGCCUUAGAGGAAAGGUCGCGGAGGUAUUGUGGGCUGACCUGAACUUGCUGAGGCCUGUUUUGUUAUACCUUUGCCUUUCACAUUGAAGUGCACAAUUGACCUUAUCUUUUGUGAAAAAAUACUUUGGCCUCUUUGAAGUCUUGUGCUGCUGGCAGAUUCACACGGAUGCCUACUUACAAGCUCUUUAUUGAUCAUACUUGUGGCACGGGUGGCAGGUAUGGCGUGCAUGAGUGGCUUCAGGAACCUUUGCUUUUGUCCCACCAGAGUUUGAGUUAACAGGAAGAAGUGUGGUAGAGGGCUCCUGCUCAUCCUGCUUUGCUCCUUAUCCUGCUGUCAGGUGAGCCCUGCAGGACCACCCCCUUCUCCUUGUGUUUCAGCCUGAUGUUCAAGGUUAAUUCCCUGGGUGGCCAUGUUUUCCCUCCCCUCCAUGCCUCCCAUGUUCUCAUUUCUUGAAAUGUGUUAAGCCUCGUAUACAAACCUGCUCUCCUACCAUCCUUUAGAACAUAGCCCAGGUGUCAUUUCCCCCUAGAAACUCUUUGACACCCCAGCCUUAGUCCUGCUGUCAACCCCCCUCAAGUUCAGAAAACAUGUGUAAAUCUCCAUAAGGGCUCUGCCGCUGUGUUAGAGCUGUUGGCUUGCGCUCUCGAACUGUGGGGGCAGCAAGCUCUUUGAAGGAAGGGCUAUCUUUCCUGUCUGUAUUACCGCUGCUCCACAUAGUUUGUGCUAUAAGUGACCAGAUGGUGUGACCUUGCUGGAGCAUGAGCUGGGACAGCUGGCCAUUCUGAUGGGUCAGUGACUAAUGUGUAGGGACCCUGCAAACCCAUAGACACAUGCACAGAUCAGUUGAAAGUUCAGGCACAUUUAGUAAAUUAAAACAACCCUUUUCCUAUCAGUUUCCAAGUUUUUUCUAUUGUAAAUAACAUAGAGAUAGCCAGUUUUGUACAAAAACUUAGGUACAUCUCUGGUGUUUUUUCCUUCUGAUUCUAGAAAUCACGUAUUUUUUAUUUCAAAAAGAAACAUUUAAGUUUGGCACAAGAUGAGAAUUGAAGGACACAUGUGGGCUUUGGAGUUUUGACUUCCUGAAUUCCUAGUUUCCCCCAUUUACUAGCUGUAGACUCUUGGGCAGAAUACUUUUCUGAGGCUCACUUUCCACUUUCCUAAAAUAGAGAUUUAUAUCAGUCAGCACAGGCCAGGUUGUCCCGCAGGACCAGACAUCUCCCAAACCUCAGUGGGUUUACAGUGUCACAGCAUCUUGAUUAUUCACACUUCAUGCCUCUCGUGGAUUAGCAUGGAGGCUGUGUUCACUGUGGAAGUUCAGGGACCCAGGUGGAAGGUACAUCCUGACUUGCAUUUCAGAAUUGUGGAUGGAGGUAAGAGACCUAAGAAAGCUCUUAGAACUUGUCAUACUUGCAUUUCACUGACCAAAGCAGUGUCCUAGCCGAGUUCAGAGGUCAGGGAUGCAUAAUCAUUUUGCAGGGAAAGGCAUCAAAUAUUUCCAAAUAAUAUUGCAGUCUGCCUCCAGGUUAGUGACGCAUGAAGGGAAACUCUUGGAACAUACCAAGUGCCCCCUACAAAGGUAGUGAUUGAUGAAUGGAAGCUAAUUUUAUUCGUGAUUGGUUUCUCUGGAAAGUAUUAAUGAUCUAUUGUAAGAAGUUAUAAAUGGGCUCAGGAUAUAAUGAAACCUAGUGUCCAUACUUAAUUAUGGGCAGUUUAAAAAAGAAAACUUUUAUUGAAAAUGCACCGACAGAUGAAAAAUUAAAACGGCAGCUUCAUGGUUCAAAGGUAAGUUUCUCUGUAAACGUUACAAUUUCAAUUUAUCAUUUUCUUGAGGUCCCAACAACGAAGGUUUAAUAACGAAUAGUUUCUGAAGUAUUGAAUCCACUAACUUAGAAAAUCAGUGUCUUUCCUCAGUGCAAAAUGUACUUACAAUUAGAACAUUUUGGUAAGGCAUUCUUAUGUGAAAAUGUUUCUGACCUAAGUUGUUUUAGCUCCUCCUGUGUUUAGCAGACUGCCAGCAGUAGUUUCACUCCUUGCUUUGUGAACAAAGGGGUAGUUCUGUGUUUUUUCAAAAAGGAGAGUUAAACUUUUCACAUGAAUAUUUAUAUUUAACAAAAAAGACUGCUUUCCAUGGUGUCUGGUUUAUGAAAACUUUAAUAUGAAUAUCAGUGAUUUCUGCCCCACCUCAGCAUUUUAAAAAGUCACUUUUAUAGUUUUACUCUGCAGCUUAUCAUCAUAAAUCCAAGAAUGUAAUUUUUUUAGACUUCAGAAUACCAUUGAUGCAUGUGCUUUAUGAGCUAGGUAGAACUAGUGUUGUAAAAUUUGUUUCCCUUAAAAUGUUCUUGGGAGUUCCCGUUGUGGCACAGCAGUAAGGAACCUGACUAGUAUCCAUGAGGAUGCAGGUUUGUUCCAUGGCCUUGCUCAGCAGGUCGGGGAUCUGGUGUUGCCAUGAGCUGUUGUGUAGGUCGCAGAUCUGUGGCUCAGAUCCUGUGUUGCUGUGUCUGUGCUAUAGGCUAGCAGCUGCAGCUCUGAUUUCACCCCUAGCCUGGGAACUUCCAUA